This 447-nucleotide ribosomal RNA is filed under the name uncultured bacterium. RNAcentral describes it as "partial 16S ribosomal RNA". It matches the Rfam family "Bacterial small subunit ribosomal RNA", at positions 29 to 523 of the family's 1533-position model. The record is from RNAcentral.
AACGAACGCUGGCGGCAGGCCUAACACAUGCAAGUCGAGCGCCCCGCAAGGGGAGCGGCGGACGGGUGAGUAACGCGUGGGAACGUACCCUUUGCUACGCAAUAGCCUUGGGAAACUGGGAGUAAUACCGUAUGUGAUCUUCGGAGGACAGAUUUAUCGGCAAAGGAUCGGCCCGCGUUGGAUUAGGUAGUUGGUGGGGUAAUGGCCUACCAAGCCGACGAUCCAUAGCUGGUUUGAGAGGAUGAUCAGCCACACUGGGACUGAGACACGGCCCAGACUCCUACGGGAGGCAGCAGUGGGGAAUCUUAGACAAUGGGCGCAAGCCUGAUCUAGCCAUGCCGCGUGAGCGAUGAAGGCCUUAGGGUUGUAAAGCUCUUUCAGUGGGGAAGAUAAUGACUGUACCCACAGAAGAAGCCCCGGCUAACUCCGUGCCAGCCGCCGCCGUAA